Long non-coding RNA from Gambusia affinis (western mosquitofish), 315 nucleotides. RefSeq lists it as uncharacterized. The transcript has 3 exons. The record is from RefSeq and is a predicted model, not a curated record. NCBI's taxonomy places the organism in Eukaryota, Metazoa, Chordata, Actinopteri, Cyprinodontiformes, Poeciliidae.
CUUAAAUGCACGCAUGACACACAUAACAGAAAGGGUAGUCAACGCUAUGACAACCAGAUAAAAAGGUCCAAGGGUAUCGCAUUUCACAGACGUAAAGUAACCUCUGCACCGUCAGCUGUGAGCUCCACCAGCUCCCACCGCCAUAGAGGUUGCUAUGGCAACGGCUCGGCGUGUAGCGUAGCGGAGACGGCGAGAAAGAAAGAAUACAGAACCAGACAACAAGAGCACAACUAACCCGUUCCAACCAGAAACCAAACUGUCUCUGGAUCCUCAAUCUGCACCGAAUGUGACGACCAGAUUCCUGCUGCAUCACGU